Molecule: long non-coding RNA, 17343 nt
Organism: Columba livia (rock pigeon)
Lineage: Eukaryota; Metazoa; Chordata; Aves; Columbiformes; Columbidae
Exons: 2
Source: RefSeq, a predicted model, not a curated record
AGCUUGAUAUUGCACUUUCCAUUACUUUUGGAAGUUUGUUUCUCCUGUAAGUAACUAAUCCAUUCUUUAUCAUUCUUCCCUAAAAUAUUUCCAGUGUUUUCUUUAUUACAGCUCCUGUAAUUGCUCAUGUUUAGAAAGAUGUGGUAACCUAAGUUAAAUUUUGUGUGUUUUGUGGUAAGAAAACCCCCUGCCCCUUCCCCUCUCAUGAAUACCAGAAUUAUCACAAAGGUAAGCUCCAUGAAUAAUGUAUAUAGACCAAUUAAAUGAAACUGCUGUACUGGUUCUCGUGGGAGGUAUCUGGUGGCAGUGGCAGUAUGUUUUGACACCUGAAGCCUGCCACAUGUAGCUACUUGUAAUGUUUUGAAUCCUAUGAAUUUAUGUAUUUUGUUUUCAAGCAAAUAUUCUAAUUGUAAUUCUAAAUUAUGAGUGUCUGAAUUUGUUUCUUUGCAUUUGCUGAGGCUGUAAAAUAACUUACAUUGCCAACUUUCAAUGAAGUGUAUUUGGCCUGACUAAUAUUGGAUUCACUUAAGAGGUAGAAGUAAAAUAGUCCUAGUGAAAGUUUCCAUCUGUGAAAAGACAUAUUGAUUUGAUAUCUCCAUUUCAAUAGGAGUAAUGUAUUGAAAACAAUAGGCUUUUAAACAUUUUACUGAAGUUGCUGCAAUCAUGUCGGAUGGGAAAAUCUAUUGCUUUGUGAACAUGACUCCAUCACUGUUUGAGAAAUAUUAAAGAUAUGUAAAGCUGCAUCAGUCAUAUAGCUGGAAGAGUAAAGUGAGCACAGGUGCUGAGAUGUCUAGUUCACUGCAGCCUUGCCAGCUCUGCUCCAAAAACAGUACACAGAGAAAUCCUUGCUCUCCUUGAACUUCCAGUCCUGAGCAGGUAAGUCUGUUCAGUGUAGCCUUACUUAACUGUUCAGAUCCCCAAUCUGCUAGGAACCUGUAACUACGCUCUUCAUGAGCUUAAACCAGAUAAUCCACAAAAUCAAUUUGUUCUCUCAAGAAGACAUCUUGAGAUGAAAAGCUGAAAUUCAGCUUGCUUAUAGUUAUUAAACCACAUAUGGUGCUUUUUAGAACAGCCAAUGGACAGAACAGCCCAGAGUGGGAUUUUUGAAAAGUGCUUAAGGCAUUUAGGAGCAUAACUAACACUAAAAGUCUAUGGGAUUUACGCUCUUACACACCUCUGGCAAUUGGUAAAAAAUUCCAAUUUCAGCAGAUAGUACUCUGGACUGUUAUUGGGGCUUAAGUUCUGUUGAUUCAGCUCUGACCUGCUGCUGUGGACCUGCUGUUUCAGCUCUCUCUGUGACACUCAUCUUAUAUUGGCCUAUUUAGGCAGGCAUUUUCAAUGACCUCUGGACUUAUAUCAUGCAAUGGAAUGCCCAUAUCUCCCUGGGUCUUUCUUUUGAAAAGAUCAGCUUUGGGUUGCACAGUUUCAUGAAGUGAAGACUAUGUCUCUAAUAGCUUUAUGAUGGGUAUAGCAUAGACCUGGGUUUUGAUUGUGGCAUCUGAAUAAAGCUACAAUUCAAACAACCAUAUUAUUUUCUUCAUGAGAUUAAUAUGCUCUGUGAAUGUCUAGACUUCUAUUUUCUUUCAUAGAAUCACUUUAAUUGCAGGUAACUUUUUUGUUAUAGCCUAAAGUUUUUUGUGCUUUAUGUCCCAUUACCAUACUAAUGGUCUAUGGAUCCAUACUCAUACAGAAGAAUAAAUCUCACUUGAGCGUUAAUAUAAUAGAGAACACAUAAUGGCAUAUAUAAUAUUUCAUUCUAGGUCACUACCUUGAAUUUGGCUCCAAAAUUGUUGGCAAACCUGACAGUUCUGUGUUGUUCUAUGUGAACACUGUUGAUUCUGCCCUAAGUGGUCAUAUUGAAAAAAAAAAAAAAAACACAGCUCCUUGCGCUGUUCUGAAAAUACACUUAAUCUUGACGUAAAGAUACAUUAAGAAACUUGUUUGCAUGUUUCCUUCAUCCACACUCUCUGGUCUUUGCCUGUGCAUUUUAAACCCCAAAGACUUCAGUGAAAGGGUUCUCUCUCUCUCUGUCCUGUUAGCACAGCAUCUAGCGCAAUAGCCACUAUUCUUAUCUAAUUUCUGCCAUAAUCUGUGAAGCUGGACAUUGGUCUUAGGUUUGCAGGUAUAUUUUUCAAACUAACAAGUAAAUACAGUUUUAGAAUAACUAAGUAGGGAAUAGAGGUUAGAACAUCAACUGAGAACUUAUUUGUGGAAUAAUUAAUAUAAUUCAAAUAUUGGCUGAGAAACUCAAAAACGGAGGGUGAAAAAAAAGCCCCACACAACAACAACAAAAAACCCAAACCAAAACAAAAACCAGGAGAAAACCUAACAAACAAACAAACAAACAACCCCACAACAAAAAUAAACCCAAAACAAUCAAAACCCAUACUUUGUCCACUCCUAUACUUCCCUAACAGACAGUCUGUCAAAGGAAACUGUGCAAUCCGACUAUGACCCACAGGUUACAUGCUCAGUUUCCUUUGUCCCAAUCUUUCAUGAAACAAGGAAAAUAUUUGUGCAUAAUUUCAGCAUAUUAAGAUAAGGAGUAGGUUUUACUUCUUCUCAGAAUAGCAAGAGACGUCUUUAUUUUACACAGAUCCUAAGUAUGCAGAAAUCGUGAAGCGCUGCUACACCUGAUGGUCAGAGCAUAGUUGUAUUUUGCACUUAGAAGCAGAAGAGCUGCAUAUGCAAAGUUUUCACAAAUGGCUCAGAAUUUUAGCUUAUUUUUCUUCUUCACAAGCACACAGCCUUGAAUUAAAAGCAGUUCGGUAAACACUAGCAUUAAAAGAAGAUUAAAUAUUUGAGCCUCCUUGUUAAUUGCAACUUUUGAUUAAGCUUUUCCUUGAAGUUGGCACCUACAGGAUCAAUAUUGUUUACUUCUGGAGAAAUUUAAAAGGGAUGUACAAAAUGAGCCAGUAAUAUCAGCGACCUUAUUAGGUGAAGCCUGCUGGAACUGAGCAUUAGCAUAGGGCAAUUCUGGAAUCUCUGGUUUUGUAGAUACUUUCUUAAAUGAAAGAGACAAAGUAAACUAAUUUCUCAACAUUUAGAUGAGUCGCUGUGUCACUGUCACCCUUUUAAGAACAGGGAAGCUGAAAGAAUUUAUGUGCGGAAGAACUACAUUUGUUUAUCCCUUCUUAAAAAGCCACAAAUACUGUAUUUUUCAAAGACUUAGAAGUUAACUUUAUUUUCAAGCCAAUGGAUUACUCUCAAAUCAUUAAGCUACUCUGUUGUAUAUUAUCUUCUGUUUGGGGCUUUUGUGUGGUUAAGCAUAUGUCAAUUUCUUGCCCUAAUUUUUUUUACUGUCAAGGGCAACAGAAGGGUGUUUAUGCUUGUUUGUUUACAUUCAAAUGUAAAUGUCAUGAAGGAUAUACAGCCAAGCACAAAGCACACACUUUGGUGUAUGAACUGUACCAUUGCACUGUAUACACCUUGAACAUCACACGCUGACAUUACUUUCAGUUUUUUAAAGAAACCUGUACUUUUAUUUUAUGUUGACAGCUAUUUUCACAGUCGGUUUUGUCAGAAUUCUAACAGUGCUUUAGGUCUGCCUAUAGAUUAUUGUUACUGAUGUUACAGUUUUGCUGAUGAGAAACAGUUUGAUAGUUUUUUCCCAACAAUUAAUUUUUUUUCAAAAUUUCAUAAAAGAUAAAUACAGUGAUUACAUGUAAUAAUUAGCCUUGUAUAAUGAAUGGAGAAUUUUAAGAUUAAUAAAUAGGUGAACAUGAGCCUGAUAACCUGCUUAAUUAAUCACUAAGCUGUGGAACCAGUGCAAUUCAUACGUCAAUCCAGGCUCUUUUAUAGAAGUGAUUUGAAUCAGUUGCUAAUGAAAUUGCAAAAUUUAGAAGUAGCUUUCUGACUUUCAAGUGACAGGGCUCAUAUUUAACUCAAGAAAUGUGACAGUUAAUGACAACAUAAAAGUCCUGUGAAUUAUUUGCCAGAUCGUGUGAGAAUUACAGCAUCAAUCUAUUGGAAUAGCUUGUAGCUGAUCAGUGUGAAAAUAAACAGUCAUAAUGACAUAUUUAGAAAUCUAUGGUGCUGCUUAAAAUAUGAGUCUGCCUGAAAUAAAACAAGGACAUAAUCCUACAAGUCUAACAAUAAUAUUUCAAUUGUCUUGCUCCACGAUAUAGACAAAUUUACUCUUACUAAUGUUAAAACUGUAAUCCUUUAUAAAUUAUAAUUAUCUUUAUUAAAUCAAUUACUUUAAACUGCCAAAGUAGUUUCAUGGCUCAUUCUUCUUUUUUAAUGUAAUUAACAUGCUUACUCUUACUCAUUCACUUGAAUUUAAAUGAUUCUGCCAUUGAAUUUGUUUCCUUAACUUUGCACUUACAGCCACACUUUAAUUAAUUAAAACUUCAUCCAGAUAUAAUGAGACAGUUAUUGUGUGUUAAUGAAAUAUCACUGGAAAGUGCACUAAUCAAUAAUUAAUUUAAUUAAGGUGUAUAUGAGACAAUAUUGCCAUAUAAUUAACUGAAAACCACGUAAGUAACACAUGCAUAUUUAAAUUUUCAUUAAUAAGUUUGUUAGGAAUUUUAGAUCGUGCUGGUUUAUGGAUUUACAUGAGAUGUAUAAAAUUAAAGUGUUUGUCAAAGAGAUUCUGAAAUACACAUUAAAGGUAGUCCUGAAUCAUUUAGACAGUCACGUAGCAAAUGUAGGCAAUUGAAGCCAUACUAAGAAUGGGAGUGUGCCUUCUUGGAAACGAGGUAGAAAUCUGCAGGAGAUUUCUUUUAACCUUUGAAAGUCAGACAUGUAAAAAACCCUAUGAGAUGAAGUUACAUGUGAGAAAGCAUAUUCUAUACUUGAAAAAUGUGCCUUAGAAAGGAUUAUGAAUAAUGAAAGUAUUUUUGCAAUUCCACAGCUAAAGCUGGAUCAUCUCACUAACAUGCUGUUCAGGCACCCUACUUAUUAAGGACUAUGUUCUAUUAAUAUUGAUGAAGUUAUCUCCUUUGCUUAUUGUUAAUUAUUUUUUAUGAGAAUUUACCAAUAUAUCUGCUAUUUAAAGGUGCUACUAAUUUGAUACAUUUCUGAGUGGGGUAUCCCAGUGAAUAUUGUGUUGGUUGUUGCUUGUUACAGGCUGCAGGCUUUGUGUUAAGCUCUCAACAGAGACCUUAGGCUGUGUCAGGACCUCUCUGGACUUAUUUUGGCCUGCCUGGUGAAUUGUUUUAGCUUGUAACAGCUUAUCUAACAAUUGGGUGGUUAUUUUUCUGAUUUCUUUUAAAUUUUAGUACAAUUGUGGUUUAAUUCUUAUUUUUGUAUAUAUUUUUGUAACAGUUAGACAACAAUAGCAAGUAAUUAUUCAUUGUAGGAUGAACCACCUAUGACCCUAGAAUAAAAUACAGCAGGGAUGAAUCUUCACUCAGAAGGUGCAUCUUCACCAGGUGACUAAGCAGGACAGCACAGGUACUGACCUGGAAUGGUGCCAGGACUGCAAGUAACUCACCAGCUAGUUGUUGCACAGGAAUGCACCUUUGGGAGGGAGAAUGAAACCAAUCUGAGGACCAAAAAAGGGAACAAAGAACUACAUAAUCGAGCCUUUCUCUCUAUAUAGUAAAUUCAGAUGUAACAUGAAGUUUCUAGCCAACGAAGAAAGAGAAAGAUGUGAAAAAAUUUUAGGACCAAAGCUCAUCCCCAAGUUAAUCUUAGAAUAAGGAAAAAAAUAAUCAAUAUUAACCUCAUGCCACUCACAGCAAAAAGAAAAAAGGAACACCUACCAUUAAUAUCUUACUGGUAACAUGAAAAUCUUGUGGUAAUACAUCCUGAUGACAUAAAUCCUUAAUUUCAGUAAGUAUGAUAGCAGAGAAAGGGGUUAGAUAUGAGGAGUGUGUAUAAUAAUUUCAACUGCAUUAUUAUUAUUAUUAAGUUAUAUUCCAUAAUAUUAUUAUUUUUUCCUUUUUUCUAUCCUUUUCUGUAAUAAUAAGUCUUGAGCUAACAGUAACUCUUUAAUUAGACUGUUAUUAGUUUAGUUAGACUAUUUAUUAAUUCCUGGUUUCAUACGCAAAGAGAAUGGUCUUUUUGCACAUAAAAAAUCUUUUGAGUAUAACAACUGAAAAAGAAGGUUACAUCAAACACAGACAAAAUAAAAAUUCUCCUGAAUAUCAGUGAUGUCUCCUAAAAGAUGGAAUCUUGAUAUCUUGUGCCUCACCCAGACUCCCCAAACUUUCAUGGGGCUUCAUGGCAACAGAAGUGGAAAGAGAAUUACACUUCCACUGACCUGACACUAAAUAUUUCGGCUCAGUUCCAUGAGCUGCAAUUUAGAUCCCUUUGAGGCAGACCUAGUGAUUCUAUUGUAAAUUGUAAUUCUAUUGUAAGAUUUUGUGGGAAUUUGUGUUUUGUUUGGUUUGGGGUUUUGUUUGUUUGUUGGUUUUUUUUGUUUUGUUUUUGUUUGUGUGUGUGUGUUUGUUUUUGUUUUGGGGGCUGGGUUUGGUUUUGUUUGUUUGUGUUUUGGGUUUCUGUUAUUGUUUUUUGUUUUGGACCAUAAACACUUGAAGGGCUUAUGAUUUAAAAGAUCAAGUUUCAAUGAGAAAAAUACAUUUUAGGGCAAUUUUUUUUUUUUUUUUUGCUUGUUAGAAGCAAUCUGGCAGAAAAUACCUGACUCAGUUCUAUUAACAGUACAACAUUCUUACAGAAAGCUAAACACUACUACAACAUACACAACUAACAGAUACAAGUCCAUAUCAGUAAAUAAGUGAGCUGAAGUAGUUUUUAAAUAAGUAUUUGGAGGUAACGUAAAUACUUUCUCCCAAGAAUUAGCUCAAUCCUGCUUUGUAAGGAAACCAUAACACAGCGUGUUACAUUUACAAUAUCAAAUUAGAGUAAAAUGAGGUUUUCAAAAAUAAUUUAUAUCAGUUCAGAAUAAAGGUGAUAUUUAUUUUCAUGCUUUACAAAUAACAUCUUUUGUUUCAGGAAGAAAAGCAAGCAUGUGGUAAAAAAUAAAAAAUCUUAACAUCGUGGGACUUUAAAAUGAAAUUUAAAGAUACCUGUUUGGUAUUAUGAAAUAAGUGCAUGCCAACCUUUUACCAUUUAUUGUACAGGUGAGGUGCUUUUCUUAGCUGAGUUCAGGUUUCACCUGUAAGAAGGGAGAGUUUUCAGAUUUACCUCUUUCUGAAAGAGAUCUUCAAGAGGUAGGGAGAAUUAAUUGUUCUCAGUAGCUCUCUUUAUAUCUUGGUUUUGGAGAGAGACUUGACAACUAGCUUACAGUUUCUGGCUGAUUUUGAAUAGCUUAUAUUAGUUGAGAUGACUUUUCACCUAUAUUGCUUGCAUGGUCAGUGUGUGGUUGGAAGGAAUUUAAGUUAACUACAGCUGGGAUAUUUUUUUAAGUUAUUUCAUGUUGGUGUAAUAGCUUGAACAAUAGCUUUAAAAACUACUGGCCUUAUUUCUCAGGCCAACUGCUGUGAAUCAGUACACCCAUUAAUUAUACUAUUAACUUUUUUUAUAUGUUCAGCAAUGCUGUUUUUUGUAUUGGAGUUAAAAGGUAAUAUUCUAUAUAAGCAUUGAUCAAAAAGUGUUAUAAUAUUUCAAAGGGAUGCUAUUUACAUGGAGAUGUCAUGCAGCCUCAUGCUUAUCGAGUCAAAGAAACCACUCAGUAAGAGGAAAGAUUGCAAGCUUUCUAUUUCAAAAUGGUGUAUGUCAGUUAUAAAUUAUUUAUAUGAUACAGUUUAUUUUAAAAAAAUAGUUGAGCAAUUUCUCCCCCAACUCCUUUCUGCUUUGUUAAAUCACAGGUUUCAAAUGCUGGUCAGUACUUUUCCAGGAAGCUGUUAAUCACAGUACUAGAUAAGACUGAUUUCUAAAUAUAUUUUCAGAAUCUCAGAUUUCUAUUUAGCUUUUAGGUUAGAAUAUACUAGUCCACACUCAGCAUCUGACUCUCUUGUUUAAAGUGUGAAUACUGGAAAUUGCAGUGUUGCAAGACUGUAACUUCACAGCUGAAAUUGAACUGACCCAGAAAGCUGUGUUUUCUGACCUGUGUUAGAGCUCACAUCAGCUCCAGGUGUGAUCUUGCAGAAUGAGACCAUGAAGACUCCAUCUAAAACUUGAAAGCUUUCUCCUGCUGAGCAACUGAGCCCCCAGCCACAGCCAUCUCCUGGCAAAAGCAGAGACUCUGGUUAUCUCCUACCUUGGGGGAAAAUCUUCCCAGGGAAUUGAACCCCCACCUUGAAGAGUUCCUACAGCCUUGUUUAAGGGUUGUCCUUGAUGUCAAAUAUGUGCUGCAUUUUAAUAAUGUAGGCCUCUUGCUGUUAAACUCCAACUUGUCUAUUUUCAGGUCUGCGUUCAGUUGUACAUACAACUAAAACCUGUUUUACAUACAGGUUUAUUUUCUACUUGAAAUACAGAGUGUUUCCCUUGCAAUAUGUUUCAACAUGCUAAAAAUACCGCCUUAGUACAAAAAAAAAAAGGGUCUUCCUAUCACUACAGAGACAGGAGGCUUUGAGCACUCAUGGCUCUGCUGCAUCCCUCAGUGAGAGAGGGAACUCAGAUGUCACUUGAAAUUCAUCUAAUAGUAAUUUCAGGCCUCUGCCUGAGCUGAAUACUUAAUAUGCCCAUCACCUUCUCAAAAUCACAUUUAACACAGGGAAAAGGAUGUAUACGUGUGACCUCAUUACCCCAGAAAGAUUGACACAUGCAGAGAGAAUUGGGCAGUUCCUUUUGGAAGCAGGAAUGUGGCAGACAGAGGCAAGCUACCCUCUUGCAGAAUCUCACAAUGCAAGGUAUGGUUCAGUUCAUUUCCGUACACAUGGCUUAGUGUUCUUUAACCACUGAGGAUAGCGGCUUGUUCCAUUGUGUUCUUGUGACUUCUUCCACCAGCACUCUUAAGUCUCGCUUUUUGGAGCCCUUCGCUGUUACAGCCUGUCAGUUAUAAAAAAAAAAAAACCUGCAAAGGUCUCAUUUCCUCUGUCAGGAGCUUAAUGGAACCCCCAAACCCAUUAUUUUCUGCAAAACACAAGUUUAUCCACAGUUGAAACCUCACUAAUAGUAGUAUCUCAAGAACAAUAUGAAAAACAAUGAUUCUUACUCUUUUGCUAGGAAAAUAACCUCCACAGGUUAUGAUAGUAAAUUGCUUGAAGGCAGAUAUAAGGGAAUUGUGUUGGCCUCAGUUGAAUAUGAAAUAAUAAUACAGUAUCUGCCACACAGAACAAUUUAUUUUAUAACUGUACAAAUAAAACCAAAGAAAACUUCUACCCCUACCCCAAUAAGUAUACAAAAUAUGUGAUAUGUCAUACAUUUUUUCCCCUAUGUGUUUUGCUGUACAUCUUUGUGUUUUAUGCAGACUCUUUACCUUGGGAUUGAGUGUUGCUAUAAUAUCUGUGGAGAGGCAAACUUUUUUACAUUCUUUCAUAGCUGAUGCUGGGCAUGAAAACCUAACACUAGUAUAACUUUGCUUCCAUACCAAAAUAGACUAAAUUUAUUCUCAGGGAUAAAACAGGAAGCAAAUCUAAGGCAACUUAUUUUUAUGCCUUGUAGUAACCGGAGUGACAUACUGCUUUUGUUGAUCCACGUCAGAAAAGACAGGCUUCUCAUGAAGCUCAUAUGGUAUAAUUCACAUGCUUAAAAAAUAAUGACUGGUAGGUGAUGUUUUUUCUUCUUCCUGCCAAACCAGUAUCCCUGUUCAUUUGCCUUUUUCAGGGCCUGAUGGUCCACUUAGGCUCUGUUUUUAAACUUAUCCUCCUUUUGUUUCUCAUCUCAGGAGGACACUCUUCCUCUUUAAAGCAUCAUGCAGAUAUGUGAAAAAAAGUGUUCAACAUUGCAAAUUGUUCUCAUAAUGUCCAUCUCUUUAUAUGGUAAAUAUUUCCUGGUAAAGAACCAUGACAUACUAUGUCAUACAAAGAACCUCAUAAGACCUUGGUAAGGUUAAAUUUUUUUAAUGCUCACUGACAAUACACAAAAGCGCCUUCACAGUCAGGCCAGUCCAUUUGGUUAACAUAAACAGACGAGUGUUUCUUUGUAGCUCUAGCACAAGAGCUUGAUGUGGCUAACUCUGUCCAGGCUCCACAUUUAAAGUCCCAGUUAAUAUGAUGUCCUGGGCAGUUUUAAGAAGACAGGCAUAUUUCCCUUCCUGGUGCCAAAUAUCUUCUCUGUUAUGAUGUUGUUUAUAAUAAAGGUGUAUCAAACAUAAGUUACUGCCUAGAAAUAAAUUAACUAUAAAUGCUAUGGGGGAAAAAAAGAAAAAAAUCUUUAAUUUUCUUACUUUUCAACCCUAAGGAUGGUAACAUGACAUUAGUCUAAUUUACUGGUAUAAAAUGGUAUUCAAUCAAUGCUUGAACCUUUCCUUGAAUAUACCUCAAAUUUGUUUCAUCUACCAUUAUUGAAAAGUAGCACAUUUAAGUCUUAAUAAUUCUUUACACUAGAGUGCUAUUAAUGUCAUCAUUAUUAUUAUAGUUCCCUAUCUUCAAUACAUGGUAGCUGUUAGAAUUCAAGUACAAAAAUCAAUGGGAAAUUUGCAUUUGAUAUAAAAUAUUCUAAUCUAUCACAAUUAAUUUCCUUCCCUGAAUUAUGCUAAUUAUCCUCUUCCCCACCUGGGAAGAAACCCCUAUUGCAUUCUUGACUGGAUUUAGAUCUAAAGCUGGUUCCCUGAAGUGCAAAUCUUUGAUAAAAAUCCCAUACUUACUCUCUCUUUUCUUCUGUCUUUUGUACACACAGCACAGUGAGAAAUAUUAAAUGAAAGGUUUUGUUUGACCAACAGUUUUUGAAUACAGAAGACAUCUGGUUGUUCUUUAAAAAAAAAAAAAAAAAACAAGUCCCUCAGUUCUUGCCCAUGGGCAAUUAAGCUGUACAUAUGCAAUUUCAAUAUUAAAAGCAGCACUGAAAACCCAUUCAUGAUUGCUGAACAGUCAAAUACCUUUGACAUGCAGUUUUCUUUCAGCUUUUUCAAAAAUUAACUUAUCUCUUUCUGUUCCUAGAAUGAGGAGAAUUCAUCCCUGAAAGUCCUAAAAACUCUUCUUUAUGGAGAAAGUGUUUUAGAUAAAUGAUCAGUUAUUGUUUGAGGACUUGAACUCCUGUCAGUGAAAAAAUUGAAUGUUUGAUUUAUCAUGAGGACAAAUGAUUUAAUCUGUUGACAAUCAACAUCAUACUAAUCAUUGCUGUCUUUUCCAGACCUUUCCCAAAAUUGUAGAACAACAAAGUUUGCAUCAGUUACUACCAUUCACACUGUUUUAUGUAAGUCUUAGUUACCUCUAUUUUUUUGGCUUGCCCUGUGAAUUUUACUUAAGGAAUCCCUCUUUCCACACUUUUCCUCAUAUCUUACUGAUGUUGUGGUUAUUUCAGUUUAAAACACAUUCCCAAAUUCACUGAAAUCUUAAUGGCAAACACUCUCCUCUAAUUUUGCUCAUAGUGUGUGGUCAUGAAUCCUGGUCAGUCUGGGACCUUAAAAGAAGUAUAUGUACCAAAGCAAAGUGUUCCAUGGAAAACAACGGUUCAAUGUGAGGUCUUUAAGAAUGGGGCUUUAGUCUAAAGGUUUAGGCUGGUUGUAUAUGUGUCUCUUUGACUAUUUUUAAUGGCAGCUUUACUUGAUUAUCAAGUUACUAGCAACAACAGAAAAUAAUUAUUAAUGCUGACAUCUGCUCAAAUGCUAAGUUUCUUCCAAAUUGACAACCAGGAAAUGUACAUUAUUUCAUAUUUUUUCCCACUGUCUUAUGGUUAGUAUAUGAAAACUUUCUAGUGUAAUUUGUUAGCUCCCCCUUGUACAUUGCAUCUGGGGAAAUUUUAUUAAAGGUGAAAGAAAUAUCACCACAUCUUUCACUUCAGAAUUUGACUUGCGGUUUGAGGUUAUGAAGGUAAAAUGCAAGACAAAGUGGCUCUUUUGAUUGCAGCCAAAAGGUACGAGGGAAAAAAAAACUAGUUCCUUAAAUAUGUAGUUUUAUUGGAAUGUGUUUUCUUGAUAUUUUUGCUUUUGUAAAACAAAGAGAGUCACAGGUUGAGAGGCUACGUAACACAGGAACCGUUUUGGCAAUGAAGAUUCUGCUAGGCUCAAAGUGGCCUAGUGUUAUAGUACGUAAGUAGUUAGGUCAUCAGUGAUUAUGUAGUUUUGUUCACUCCUCUGACCUCAUUUAGUAUUUUUUUCUUAGCAAAUAACAGAUAACUACAGAAUAAUUAAUAUUCCUCUGGAAUUCCUUGCAAUUACAUUUUUUAACAAGGGAAAUGAUUGCUAAUAACCUACAGGGAACAGAUAGAAAGUCCUGUGUACUUAACAUGUACUUAUGUACUUAAAAGGCAAUAUAUUAGGCAAAUAACAAAAAGACAUUGCUCUCCAGGAAGUGGUUUUCUGUGAGUAUCCUUGUGUCUAUCUGAAGUUCAUUAAAAUAAAAGACUCUUUUGGUGGCAGAUUAGUACAGUUCAAACAAACACUGCUGGGACUGGAGAUUUCAUCCCUGUUUGAAUAAGUUUGCAUAGAAUGAAAAGAAGCUUUUGGACCCUGCUCUUUCUUGAGCAGAAGAGCCCCAGCCUCACUUACAUGCAAUGCAAUGGUCUUUGCCCAGAGCUCCACGUGCUUGUGUUUGCAGUGUGCUUAGCAUACUCAGGGUUGUCCUUUGAGUGUUCAAAUGGCAAUAGACUGUAUUCAAACAGUUCUCAGGAAAGAGCCUAAGAAAUGUGUAAGGUAAGCUGUGAAUAUGAAAGUUAUGGUGUGUUUCCAACUGUUUUGAUAAUGAGAUGCAACUUAAUUAAAGGGCUGUGACCAACAGAAAAAGAACUCCCAAGCCACAGGACACUGGCAGCACCGAUAUUGCCUUGUUCUUGUGCAAUUCUGAACCAUUUCAAAAAAGAUUUUACUGGCUGAAAGACUUUUCAUAGGCAUUAAGCUGGUUUAAUAGAGAGUCUUAGUAGUAUAGAGCUAGAUUUAUUUUGUCUAGUCAUACGGUUGUGGUAGUUCAGAACUGGCUUCAUAAUCAUGCCCACAGUAUCAGAUCUGAUGAGGAAAGUGUUCAUUAAAAUUGGAUUUCAGUUGGCUUCUUCCUCACUUUGAAAGAUAUUAAUUAGAUGCAUGACUAGAAAAUUGCAGCAAUUGAAGCUUCCACAUUAAAGAAUUUGAGACUUCUACUAUAUUUGCAAUUCAUGUUUCAAAGCAUACAACUGAUGCUAACAAAUGAGGUGUGGCUUAUUUUUACAUAUUCAUGCUUUUGAUCAUCUUUUUACCUUUGGGUGGAAAAGAAGGAUACCUGAGCUUCUUUACGACCAGGGGCAUCAGAGUGAAUGUGGUAAUACUGAGGGAGGUGACCAAAGAUGUGUAUUAACCCAAAAAGAGGAGCAUGUGUCUGGAGACACAUUUUCACUUGUGAUGGAAAAGUACAUCUGGAAAUAUCAUGCUCUGUGCCUGUUUCUUCUGUUGAUAAAUUGUACACAUGGCAAAGGCCAAUUCAGUUGCAUUGGUGUUGGUAUAUCACAGCAUGCUAGCAAUUUCUUAAGCAGGUGCAAUGCAAAUAGUAGAUAGGAUGGCUGGUAGGUUGUUUCUUGAGUUUUCAACUAGGUUUUCUUGUGUACAACACAUCCAUGUGUUAAUUGUCUCUGAUACUCGGACAGCAAAAGUUUGGAGUGUGUGUCUGUUUCUGUACUACAUAUGUGUGAACCAAACUGUGUGAUAGAUCAUGCUCAAUGCCUGUGCUUGGUUGUCCAAGCAGUGGCUGUUUUUGAAUUGCCAGUCUUAUCUUGAAGAAACAUGUCUUGUUCAGUUCAGAACCAGGUAGCUUAUCUCACUUCUGAGACUGCACAUCAACCUGAGGUCUGAAGUGAAAUGACUUCAGCGCUAUCAGAUCAAUUUGCUGUGAGCAGCCCACAUCACAAUACCAGCACACAUAAUUCAGCUGGCUUUGGCAUUUUGCUCAGGAGAGAGCUAGGCCUACAUUUGCAGGAGCACUUAAUUAUUUCUUCUCUCUGGAGACUGAGAGUCAGAAAAGAUGCCUUCAGGUCAGGGUUGAAGACUCAAAAGGAAGCCAGCAAUGAGGCAGCUAAAUUUUACUUCUGUACACCGAGCAUUCAACUCUUUUCAAGGCUAAAACAGUGAAGGUCAGGAGGCUAAUCUUCUCAAGAACAGAUGAUCAUAGAAAAUAAUGUGACACAUCCAAAGUUUACUUAAUAAUUGCUUUCUCUUAAAUUAGAGUCCUUUCUUUUAUUGGUAAAUAGUAGCAUUUUUUCUGUGAGUAUCCAAAGGUGUGGUUGUCCAGCUCAAAAGGGUUUUGCUCUGAUUUUCAUUUUUAGACACGAAUGUAUUGCCCUUCACAAACUUAUUUUAUGAUAAAGACAUGCUCGACUGUGUUUGACAUUUAGCAUUCAUGUAGCAAUACAGGUAUUGUUUUCCUUUAUUACUGAAAAUCAAGUUUUACUUUCAUUUCUGUAGUAAUAAAAAGCAGCUUUAGCAAUACCUCUGUCAAAACAUUCACCUCCUAGGCCACCAGAUUUGAUGUCAGUAUCUGCUUAGCAUUUUAAUUUCUACGUUAUCAAUACCAGAGGAAAGCAGAUGACAGUAAGACACUACAUUAUGCAUCUCACAAGUUACAAUAAAAUAACAGUUUGAAUUUGUGGCAUAUCUUGGAGUUUCUCCUUAAAUGUGUGCGAGUAAUAAAUCAGAUUGACAGGGAUCUUAAUAUUUACCGGGCUGUUGCAUCUAAAUGCUUCUUUAAGGUAAACACUGGUGUUUGUGCAGCACUUUUCAAUAACUGCUUUUAAUUUGGGCUGGUUUGGUAUUGACAGUGGUCAGGUGGAUUGGGUUUUUUUUUGCUUGUUUGUUUUUAACCCUGAGUGCCAUGAGUUGCUCUCAAAAUUGCCAACAAUUCUCAGUCUGUUAGUCAAGCUCUGCAGAGAGACUAAGGAUUGAACAGACCCAGAGAAGCUUAACUUUUUUCUGUCUCCCUCCUUUUUGCAGGUAAGGCUGAAAAGGCUGGUGAACGGAACUCGUUUGGUGUUGUUCUAUCUAUCAUUACGUGUGGAACUAUCUUUGCUGACAGACAGUGUAAGUGUAUUUAGAUCUUGUCCUUUAUCUAUGUACAAGUUGGUAGCAUGAUAUUUUGGGGUGUAACAGUUAAACCGGACAAAGACACACAAACCUUAGCUAGGUAGGAGUGUUGUAUUUGAUUCAUUAGUAUGUUUUAUCCAGUGAACGCUCCCUUCUGAAGGAAGGACACUCAGAAAUGGCACUGUAUAUGAUAAAGUAUAAGAUAUAAUGUUCUGUGCCCCUACAAUAACCACCAGUCUUCUACAGGAAAAAAAAAAAAAAAAAAAAAAAAAAAAAAUCCCACAUCUACUUGAUGAAGUUGAAUGCAAAUUUCAAAAAUUCUCCUGUACUCAGUACCAGCUUUUUUGUUGUUGUUAUUUGUUUUGCUUAUAAUAUGAAUACAGUUCAUAAAUGAAAAAGGAGCACUGACUUCGAAGUAAAGGCUUAACAUGACCCAAAGUAGAAACUUGAUAUAGAUUAUAAUGUGUCACUAGCUGAAGCAGCAUAGAUUGGAAGAACUCAUCAGAAUCAUCUUUUGUUUUGGGACCUGUGAAAUGGGUUAAAAUGCCCUAACUAAUAAUGAGAAAACUGCUUACAUUGUUGCUUUGUAAGAGAGUGAAAUAUUUUAAACAAUCCAAUUUUACAGAUACUGUAUUAACAAGAAGUCUUGUUAUUGUCUUUAAAUAGCUACUCUACAAAAUGUAACAACAAAGUAAUCACAGUCCAAGAAGUCACUCCAGAAUAAAGCCUAUUAGGUGUUAGUAUGGUUAUAUUUGUACUGCAGCCAGUGGACAAACAUUAAAGCUGAGAUAGUUUACCGUAAAUGUUGGAUUACAUACUGGACAUAAUUGUUUUCACAAUAAGUUCAUCUGCUUUGUAUUUGUUUGAUUCACUGAUAUUUCUCUAAAAGUACCACAGUAUGUUUUAUUGUGGUGUUUGUUCAACAAUUCUGCAAAAUUACAAAGCCUAAAGUUAACCUGCACAAUGAAAACCUGCCUUUCCUGAUGACUGGGUCCUACGCUUUUUUGUUUUAAUCCUUAUUAGCUCAGCCUUUUUUUAAAUUUUAUUUUUCUUUUAUUUUUUUCCUUCAGACAAUUGUGUUAGAUGUUGCUAAUUUGAGACAGAGAGAGUUAUUGAGUCAUUUAGAACAUCAAAUGCUUGGGUGGAUACAUACUGCAGCACAGACAUGAAACAUCACAUUUUUUCUGACGACUGUAAAGCUUGUUGGCAACUUUGUGAAACUACUAACACAAAAGGCACCCAUCAAAGGCCUUUUGUAAAUUAUCAUAAUAAAUACAUUCAUUGCUUUUACUUUUUUAACUGGUUAUUUCUGUACUUUUAUGUAUUGUGUCCUAGCAAAGUGAAUAUAGAUUACACUAAAUGAAAAAAAAAAGUGUUGCUGUGUGUAGGAAUUAACUGAGAACAGCAUGUUUUUAUCCUGAUCUGAGCCCACCUAAACCAGUUUUUAUCCUGAUCUGAGCUCACCAAAAGGAGAUUCAGUGCCUUUUACCAGGGUAUGAGAUAUCACCUAAGUGCAAAGAUCUGGAGCUAAACCUCUACAAAUAUCAGGAAGAAUUUGAACCAAAUACGACUGAUGCAAUGGCAUCAGCACUUCUGAGGUAAGGAACCAAAAAAAUAUGGUUGAUGAGAAGACUUAUGAUUUCACACACUGUUUAAGCACUCUGGAUUAAAGCACUGAAAUACAUGGCAAAAGAAGAGGAAUUGCCAAGCUUGCCUUCCUGGAAUUAGCAACUGCUGCUGCGAAGCAGAGUGAAAUUGUCAGAUUCACCACUGAUAGCAAGUGCUGUCUAUGAGCAACUUAUCUAUGCAGCCUUUGGUUUAGGGUACUGGCGGUCACUGUGCUAGUGUGGCAGAAAGUGAUCAAGGAUGCUGGGGGAGUGUGUGUGCGCAAGUGGUGUGGAGAGGAGAGGGCACAGAGUGCGUGGGGUUGUUGGACCUCAACAUCACUGGCAAUUAAAAUGAUCCGUGUGUGGUAACAAAACAAAGAAUAGUUUGGAAGAAUGUUGCAUGUAGGAAAAUAUAACUUUCAACAUCGAAAAUAAAUAAGUUCAGUUUAUUAAGAGCUGGUGUCAAUGUGGAACAAAAUACACAUCCGCCAGUAAAGAAACAUUUCGGUGAACUGUUCCUUUUUUUUUUUCUUCUUUUUUUUUUUUUAUUUUUUGAUUUACUAAAAUACAAGUUGGACCUUUUUUCUUCUGUUUUUUUUUUUCUUUUUUUCUUUUUUUUGCAAAUAUAUCUUUUGUCCCCCUUAAUUACAUGUUUUUAUAACUGUGACCAUCAUUCUCCUUUAAACCAAAGACUGAGGUUUGGGGGUUUUUAAAUUCUUAGGAGUCUGGCCACAUAUGCAGUUUUUUUCUUUGAUUUUUCUAAGGGAAAUACUUGACAAUGGGAAAAAAAAAAAAAAAGAAAAA